Molecule: small nucleolar RNA, 131 nt
Organism: Grammomys surdaster
Lineage: Eukaryota; Metazoa; Chordata; Mammalia; Rodentia; Muridae
Product: small nucleolar RNA SNORA17
Exons: 1
Source: RefSeq, a predicted model, not a curated record
CCUGACCCAGAGGCCCUGCAGGUAUGGCUUCUCUGUCACCUGUGCAUCUGUAGCUGGCAGAAAGGAGGGAGGCUGUAUCUACACUCAGUGUUCUGACCUUUGAACAUCUGAAUGAUCAGUAGCCUAAUACU